This 467-nucleotide ribosomal RNA is filed under the name uncultured bacterium. Its description in RNAcentral is "partial 16S ribosomal RNA". It matches the Rfam family "Bacterial small subunit ribosomal RNA", at positions 28 to 507 of the family's 1533-position model. The record is from RNAcentral.
GACGAACGCUGGCGGCGUGCUUAACACAUGCAAGUCGAACGGAAGGGCCUCUUUCGGGGGGUACUCGAGUGGCGAACGGGUGAGUAACACGUGAGUAACCUGCCCUUGACUUUGGGAUAACUUCAGGAAACUGGGGCUAAUACCGGAUAGGAGCUCCUGCUGCAUGGUGGGGGUUGGAAAGUUUCGGCGGUUGGGGAUGGACUCGCGGCUUAUCAGCUUGUUGGUGGGGUAGUGGCUUACCAAGGCUUUGACGGGUAGCCGGCCUGAGAGGGUGACCGGCCACAUUGGGACUGAGAUACGGCCCAGACUCCUACGGGAGGCAGCAGUGGGGAAUAUUGCACAAUGGGUGGAAGCCUGAUGCAGCAACGCCGUGUGCGGGAUGACGGCCUUCGGGUUGUAAACCGCUUUCGCUCAUGACGAAGCUUUGUGUGACGGUAGUGGGUAAAGAAGCACCGGCUAACUACGUG